This 32039-nucleotide long non-coding RNA is filed under the name Capsicum annuum. Its description in RNAcentral is "long non-coding RNA (CANN_LNC020940)". Lineage: Eukaryota; Viridiplantae; Streptophyta; Magnoliopsida; Solanales; Solanaceae. The record is from RNAcentral.
GGUCCCACCAAUUGGCUCCGUGGCACCAACGACCCUGUCUGCUUGAUCAAUCCACCUGGCACAACCAAAAUCGGCAAUUUUGGCACCGGUUUUACCUAACAAAAUGUUCUGCCCCUUAAUGUCACAGUGUGCUAUGCCCCUUGAAUGUAGGUACUCUAGUCCUUGUGCAAUUUGCUUGGCAUAAUACCCUAUCAAAGGCUCGUUGAUCCGACCACCAUGUUUCCGAUUUUCAUGGACGAGUGUACCCUCGGACAUGUACUCCAUCAUAAGAUUAAACAUGAGUUUGUCCUUCUCUUUAGUAACAUCGCACCCCUUGUAGCUAACUACAUAAGGUGAGCUCAAUUGGGACAGAAUUUUCUGCUCCUUUUGUAGCAACUCUGACUUGGAUAGCUCAACUGACUUGACAGCAAAAACCUCAUCGGAGAAACGUGACUUAGCAACGGAGACGGAGGCAGAGGAGCCUUGGCCUAUGGUAUGGCCUCUUCUCCAUUCCAUUUUUUAGAAGAAGAUUGGUGAGAAUUUUAAAAAAAAGUGUUCUGUUUUUGGCUUGUUUUUGAAUAGCUGCAGUAGAGGGGUGUAUAUAUAUAUAUAAUAAGGUGAAUUUUCAGAAAUUCCAAAAUAGUUGGGUAGAGCUUAGGUGGCCUUUCUCUUUUCCCUCACUACAUAGAGUUUGAAUAUGUAUAUGAUUUACAACGUGGCCUAAUGGUUAUGGCCGUACGACAGAUUGAGUAGGCUGGUGGACUGCCGUUACUUGGCUCAAUUGGCUUGUCUCCACGUGGCGAAACAUUGCAAUUUAAACAAGUACAUAUCAAUUUGAUGUGUUUAGUCUUUCAAUUUACAAUGAUUUGAAAUAAGUUGGAUAGGGGGUAGAUUGGGUUAUUGGAUAACCACUUUUGAAGAUUAACCGAUAAAUGAGUAUCUUUUCAUGAGAGUUUCGUUCAAGAACCAAACAAACUUUCUACUGAAUUCUUGAGAAUAUUCCACUUUUUGGUUGGCAUUGAAUUUGUUACAUGCUUAUCCACCAAAUUUGCAAUAAAAUUAACUCCAAGAACUGGACAAGCAUAACGUCAAUUGAAAAAAAUUGGCAAAUUAUAGAGUUGGGAAGUCUUUAAUGACCUUAGGGAAAAAACAAGUGGAAGAUUAACUAAACACGAUUCAAGGAUUACAAUCAAAGAUAUCCUUUUUUAUCUUGAGGAUAUGUAAUCUUUCAAAAUGGACAGAUAAAAAAAGGUUAAAUUGUCGACUAGGUGAAACGAAGAUAAGAAAUGCAACUGAGGAGGCAGAAUAUGAUAAAUACUCAUCUACAAUUUUAUAUCGAAUGUUUCUAUGAAAUCAAUUCAAUUUAAUUUAUUACAAUUAAAUAAUUUAAUAAAGUAAAUAUAUGAAUUACUAAUCAUGGUUAAAUAACAGAAUUGUAUGCACAAACAUGGACGUGAUGUAUAUUUAUUGAUUUGAUAUAAAGAGAAAUGAACGAGAUUAAGCUAUUUCAAGAUGCAAGAUCAUUGAUUCAUAUCCCUUUAGCUUCUAGAACUAAUAACAUGAGAAAUUGCUUUUUCUUGAUGCUAAAGGAAGAAUCAUACUUGGAUACGUUGAGAAGUUUUAUGCCAUUCCAAAACACUAUGACUAAAAGUUGGCCUUUUAGUAAAGUGGUUCGUAGCUUCUAAAUCAAGCGUAUAGAAAUAUGUCAAUGUGGCAGAGUGUGUAUUGCUAAGGUGCACCAAUCAUACCUUCAAUUUCCACAAGUUUCCUAUUAGAUAUCGACUUCUUAACGAUCACUAUAACAUAUUUAAAAUGUGUAGUUUUGAACAACUUCCUUUUUCUUUUCAACUGCUCAUUCUUUUAGUUUACUUUUUUCCUUCUAUGAGAGGCAUAUCAAAAAAUAUUCCAUGAAAUGGCUUGUACAUAUGGGAGUCUCCACAUACGAUGUACGCAUAUUAUAUUACUUGAAUUAAUACUCCACGAAAUGCCAUGUACAUACGGUCUGCAUAAAAUAAAAGACACACAGAUCAAUGCCAGCGUACUAUAUUAUAGUAUUAUUUAACUAAUCUGGACAUGAAAUGUAAAAUUUCUACAUAGUAAGAACUAAGCAGGGAAAUAAAGAAUGUUCAGCAAGUAGUCAUGAAUCAUGAUAUAGACCAUUGUAAUUAAACUCAUCACAUCAUAAUUUGAAUUUCACUGGUUGUGCUUCCAGGAGUACAUACGGUAACGAACUUGGCAUUGUAUGAUAUAUAUUGUUUAUGCUAAUUAUGAUAAAGAAAUUUUAUCAGUCUGAGUUGCACAGUGUAAUUAAAGGACACAAUUUGGAGUGGUAAACGGACGGAUUGGAUUGGAUUUGAACGGGUUAAAUAUGGAUCGAGUAAAAAUGGUUUGGAUUGCAAUCCGCCCAUAUAAAUAUGAGUAAAUAUGGAUUGGGUAAAAAUGGUUUUAACCCACUUUAACUCCUAAAUAAAAAACUUAAAACUUCUAUAUCAUAUCAACUUGACUUUUUUUCCAUUUUUUUUAGUUUUUUCUUUUUAGUUUUUUUUUGUCUCUCUUCUAUAUGUAGCCUUUAAUUUUUUUUUUCUUUUUUUUGUCAUUUCUUUCUCUCUCUACCCUCUGCCAUUUGUUUUUUUUUUUUCUCUUUUAGUCUCCAUUUUUUUUUUAUUUUUUUUUGUUUUUACUUCUUUCUCAUUUUUUUCCUUUUUGGUUGUAUUUUAUAUUUUAUAUUUUUUUCUUUUUGAUUGUAUUUUAUGUUUUUUGUUUUUUUUAAUUUUUGAAGAACAUGGUUAAGUCAAAUACAAAUUAUGGAUGAUGACUAAAAUAUCGUAAUCACUCAAUAUAUUUGUUUUGACCAUCAUCUUUUUUCUUUUCCUUUUCUCCUUUUUCAUUAUUUUUUCUUUUUGACUUUUUUAUUUUUUUUCUUCAAUUCUUUCUUUACAUUUUUUUUUCUCUUCUAUCUCUAACUUCUACCUCUCUUUCUACUUUUUUUUUUUCUAUUUUUGAUUUCCUUCUUUUUUUUCUUUUAUGAUAACGAAAUAUCAUAAGCGCAUAUUGAUUUAUAUUCGCCCAACAUUUAUAAUUCGAGGGCUAUGUGGUUCCUCAACCAUAUAUAUUUUAGUCUCAAGAAAAUACAAUUAAUUCAUAUACUUUUUUUUUCAUCCGGUGUCUGGUGCCUGCAUUGGAUCCCCGACUAAUCCGAAUCGGGCGUUGCAGAGCCCAUUAAGGUGGCAGCGCUCCCAACAGAGUUUUCUCCAUACCAGGGUCAUACCCUUGACCUAUGGAUUAUAUUUAAUUGAUAAGAGAUGUUAAGAAUUAUAUAGACUAAAUGGGAUAAUUAGAAGUUUAUAUUUAUUAACCUAUGUAGGUCUCAAGCGAAUACGAAUGAUGAAAUAAGAAUGAAUAAGGGAAAAGCGAAAAAAAAAAAGAAUACAAAGAAAAAAGAAAUAAAAAUAAAAAAAUAAAAAAAUAGAUGAAAAAAUAAGAAAGAAAAAAAAUUAUAAGGAGUGAGUACAAAAAUAAAAAAAAUGAAAAAAGGUAAAUUAAAGAAAAAAAGUAGAAGAAAAGAAACUAGAAAAGAAAAAAAACUAAAACUUUAAGCAUAGGUGGGUGAUCUCUGUGUUUAAAUGGUACCCAUAUUUUACCCAUUUUGUCCAUAUUUGUAUGAGCUUUUAAAAUAAGUAGAAGUCCAUCUUUAUUUAUUUGAAAUAUGAGUGAUCCAAUUCACUAAAUAUGAAUUAAAUGAACUUUUUUUACAAAUAUAAGCUGAAAUUACCACCCUUAGACACAAUAAUGAUUUGGCCUAAAUUUUGGAGAGGUUAAAAGAACAAAUUGGGAGAAAGGAUGUGAAAGAAGUUGCAACAAGAGUAGAUUUUAGUGUUGACUCUUUGAAGAACAUUCUGGUGACAAAAUAAGGUGGGUUUAGUUUUAAAGUAAAGGCAAAAUGUCUUGUGUAACCAAAAAUAAUAAAAAACUGAAGGCAAAAACAACAAAAGAUUGCAUCUUUCCUUGGGCCUCAUGCCAUAUGACGCAGUACCAGUUUUGAAAAUUAGCAUCUAAAUCUAACAAUCAUAUAUUACAAUACAUUAUAAAUCUACUCCCGUUAAAUAAUUAAUUAAUUAUAUAAUCAAUGGUACUACAAUAUGGAGGCGUGGCUUGUGAGUUAGCUAAUGAUCAUGCGAGGUUGUUUGUCCUCAAUUACGUGGCUAUUUUUUAAUACCAAUUUAAACAACAGUUGCAUGAAUAUUUGGUAAAAAAAUCAAAUGAAAAAGUUAUAUUGAGCAUUAAAUUUUGACACGAUACACUUUUAAAUACAAAUUAAUAGUAAAAUUAUUUCAGAUAUAGAGAAAAAUAGGAUACGAAAUGCAUUAUAUUAGUCAAUGCUGUCCAAAACGAUUGUCAAGCAGAUAUAAUGCAUAAAUUUUAUGCAUAAUAGAUGAGUCAUUUUUAAUGAUUUAAUGAUAUAUUUAAAUUUUGUCCGUAUAUUAAUUUGAGUCUUUUGGAAGAAGGAUACCACUUUGAUUCCGAAUUCUUUGAAAGUUCAGAUGGACUAUUUAUGUUUAAAUUCAGGACUCACGUGUGACUUUAGCUUUCAGACAAGUCUAUCAUAACUUGUCGUGUGCUACUGCUCAAAAUUACAUAUCCAAUAUAUUAAAGUUGUAACAUGAAAUCCAAGCUAGAAGCUGUCCAUCACACAAACAGCUCCUAAUACAUAAAGUUCACUUGGCAUGAAUUCUAAUAUUCUUCAUUUGCAACAUUUUAGGGGAGGGUUUAUAAUCUUUCUUAGCCAAGUACUCACUCCUAUUCAUAUUAUUUAAUAGUAUAAAGUAUUUUUUAUUAGUUUAUUCUUCUUAUAUCACUAUGAUGAAAAAAUAUAUUGAAAAUUAAUGCAGUUUGACUCAAAGUAAAAAGUGACUAGUAUAUUGGGACAAAAGAAUACUCUAUUAAGUGAAGUAAAUACAAGAAAGAUAAUUGAGUAAGAGGUGCGACAAAUAUCCACAUCAGAUGUUUACAUUAAACCAAUUUAACUAACAAUGCUUUACAAUAUUUAAUGAAAUGAAGCUAUGCAUUAAUCAAUCAUUGUUAAAUGAUAGAUAUAUGUAUGAGCAAAUAACACAUUAUAUUUGUCCUUCGGAACAGCCUAGUUGGUUUGGAGGGCGGUUACCCACCCGGGUGAUCAGGGAUCGAUUCCCCCCUCAAUGCCUUAUGGGUUUGAGCCUGUCGCACAGGGCUUGUCUAGUGCGGUUUAUAUCCUCAUGUGGUUUGCAGGCUAUUGCAUCGGGGGGUUUACCCCAUGCGCACACGGUGCUCACCCGAAGAGCAGAGGUUGUGGCAGAGGGUGUAGCGACUGCGAGUUUUCUUGAAAAGUUUCCAAAGAAAAAUAAAAUAACACAUCAUAUUACUAAUUUAUUGAUUUAGUGUAAAUACUAUGACUAAGUUUUAUAGGGGACUUAAAAGUGUUGGUAAUGCUAUGAUGAUUGCUUUUAAUGAAAUUAGUAUGCUAUUUCAAAGGGCAAUAAGAUCAUCAAUCUCCUCAUCUUCUGGAACUAAUAAACAAAAAAUGUCUUUUCGUCAUGCUAAAGAAAGAAUAAUUCAUACGUUGAGAAGUUUUAAACCAUUAAAAUAACAGUAACAAAAAGGUUAGCUUCUAAAUCAAGCGUAUAAAAAUCUUUCAAUGUUGCAAAAAGUGUUUUUCCCAAUCAUAUAUACUUUCAAUUUUCCACAAGUUUCCAUCUGAUGCUGACUUCUCAACUAUUUACUUAUUUAAAAUAUGUCUCGAACGACUUCCUUUUCUUUUCAAAUGUUUAUUCUUUUUGUUUUUAUUUUCCUUCUACGAGAGACAAUAUAGAAUCAUUAUAUAUUGUAAAAUAUUCUAUGAAAUGUUAUGCACGUUUGGUGUACGCAUUUUAUAAACGGUAUCGACAAUUUCAGCGUAUCAAUAUUUAAUUUUAACCCUUUUUUCUUGAAUACACCACGAAAUGUCAUGCGCAUUGUAUGUGCUACACCCAUUGUCGAUAUCAACUUAUUUUAUAUCUUAUGUGUUUAAUCUUUCAAUUUAUAUUCUUACCUGGAUAUAAAAUCUAAUAUUUCUACAUGGUUAGCAGGGAAAUAAAGAAUAUUCAAUGAGACAACGUAUAAGUAACGAUAAAUGGAUAAUCUAUUGUAAUGUAAAUUAGUGAAACUUUAGUUUGAAUAAUGACCUCCUGGCCGUGGGUUCGUUCUAUGAUGAUGUUGUUAGGAUUUUUGCCUCGAUUUUUUUACCAAAUUUAAGCUUUACUUUUUCUUGUAAGGAAAAUAAAAGUAACCAUAAAUACUUUUACUUUUCCUGACAGGAAAAUAUAAAACUUUUUCAUAUUUGGCAAACCUCUUUCUUGGAGGAAAGGGACUCCUCUUCUCAUACAAUAACAUAAUAACAUCCACAAUGUAGUCUUUAAAGAGUCUGUUUAGGGGGAGAUUUCCUAUCUCAUUAGUUUUUAUGUUUUAAAUAUUAGAUUUUAUAUAUAGGCCAAUUGAUCAAAGAAUAUAAUAAUAUUAAGCUUUUUAGUAUUGUUUUUGUGUCUUCUGAAUUGUCACCAUAAUGGUUUGCAACUAAUAGCUUCCGCAUGACGCCCUUUCGAUUUCGGACCCAACAAGUAUCCAAAUUCUUGUCGAUCUCUAGUGAUUGUGCCUCAGAAUGUAAAUAUGUUAACAAACUCGGUAUUAACUGAAAUGUUAUAACUAUUCAUAAAGAAUCUUUACCUUGUUAAAUUGAGUGGCAAAGAUAACUUAAAAGGCCAUUCCAAUAAUGGUUUGACUUUAAGGAGGAGUUUUAUUUUUUUUUUUAAAAAAGAAUAAAGGGUGUGAAAGAAGUUGCAACAAAUUUCAUUACAGCAAAAGAGACUUGACUCUAAAGAACAUUUAUUGACAAAAAUACAAAAUGGGUGGGGGUUUUAGUUUUAAAGUAAAGGAAAAAAAAAAAAAAGAUUGCCUCCAUCCCUUGAACCUCAUGCCGUAUGACGCAGUACAAAUAUUAAAAAAAUUGGGAUCUAAAUCUAAUCAAUCAUUUAUUAGAGUAGAUUAUAAAUCUACAACCAUAUAAUUAAUUAGUUAAUUAUUUAAUGAAUGGUCCUACAUUGCCAUGCCAUGCCAUGCUGUCCAAUAUAUGAAGGCCUGGCUUGUGAGUUAGCUAAUGAUCAUGAGAGGUUGUUUAAGCUCAAGUCAAGUGGCUCUUUUUUCAAAUUUCAAUUUAUAGGACUUUGAAUUGAUUUAUUUUUAGGUAUUUUUAAUUUUAAGUAUUUUUUAAUUUUUAAAAGUGUUUGAUAAAGAUAAAAAAAUAUUUUAUUUCAGACUUAAAAAGUAUUGAAAAAUAGAGGCCAAAAGUUGAUAGUUAUCAACUUUUAGUUUUUGACUUUUAACUUAUAAAUCAUUAAAAAAAGUCAUUUCCAACACCUCGUUAACCACUUUUAUUUGAAUUGGUUAGGUUCCUUAAUUCUUUUUUAAAGGAAAAAAUCACGAGACACAAAUUUCAAAGACUUUUUGUCACUAUCCAAAAGUUGAGGAUGACACUCAUCGAGAUUCAACUUAGGUGUGUAAGCCGACACCUCAAUCGAAAGAAAAAAAUCAAGAAAUGCAAUUAAAAACAAGACAAACAAGAAUUUUAGAAUGAAAUCAAGUCAACUCAUAUAUAUAAAACAGAAGUCUGAACGAAAUACCAUCAAAUCCCCAACAUCUGGUAUCAUAAGUGUAGAGCAUCUAAAUACAACUCAGAAAGUACGAAAAUAAAAUAUAUGUCUCUGAAAUAAGUAAAGACAUCUAGAUAAGACGAGGUCUGGAGUACACUCUAAAAACCUAGAACAUGCCAAUUCCCCAGUCACCAACUCUGACAGGCACUAGCGCAGCUAUCACGCCUCGUACUCAUACUAGAUCUGCGCCAAAAGGGCACAAUAAGAGUGAGUAUGAUGCACUUGUACUCAGUAGGUAUUAUAGGUCGACCGAGCAAAGCAAAAAAUAAUACAAGUAAAGAAUUACUAUGAGCACGUCACUUGCAAACAAAAAAAUUCCCAAAUGGUAGCUCAUAUUGUCUUCAUUAAUAGUUCUACUACAUAGACAAAAACAAAUAGAAGCAGGUAUUCACGAAGGUACAUGAAAACUGAGUACACACAAAAAAAAACAUAAAAGAAACACAGAAGGUGCAUAUGCAAAUGCAAUGCAAUGGAUGAUGAAGUGAAUAGUAUGAAAGUCAUCUCAUGACUUUCUGUAUACAUCCAUCGAGCCUCAUUGGUCCUAAAAUAGGACUAUGGAGAAGUUUGCAACCCGUAUACUAGCUCAAAAUCUCCACCCACCUCUUUGUCUUGUGUUCACAGAUCAAAGUUUUUACAAAAAAAAUCCAUUUUCUUUUAAAGUAGUGUUCCUUAAUGGUACUAAUAUCUCAUGAAUAUAUAUGUAUGAAAUGAGGAUAUAAUGCUCACAAUCAAAUCAGUAUGAAGAUAACAAAUUCAUUCAAUACGUGCAUAAGUGAACCUAGAAAUUAACUCAAUAUGACAACAUUUCAUGAUAUCAGUUCUAGUUUGACACUAUUGAAAUAAAUAUGUAUGUAAAACAUCAUUAAUAUCUUAUCAACCCAUAACUCAGGCAUUUCUAUCAUGAUAAAGGCAAACAAUGCUCAAUAAGGUCAAUAAUAUCUAUUCAAGCCCCCUCACGGGCAUCAAAUUAAGAAUACACGCAUUUAAAUGCACAAAUAAGUCAAUGAUGUCAAAUAAAUUCUCCAAACGGGCAACACGCAAUAUAUGAUAUCACAAGUCAACAACAACAACAGUAUAAGCCCCCAUACGGGUACAAAAUAGUAAAUAUAAUUUCAAAAUAUAUUUUUCAUAGUUAUUUUUUCGAACUCAUAGUACACUUUACUUAUUUAUUAACUACCCAAUUCAGUUUAAAGAAAGUUAAGCCAUAGCCUACCUUGAAGCAUCGAAAUUCAAGCCUGAAGUCCUUCAACGCGGAACCUUCCCUUGCGAACCAUUUGGAAUCAACUAAAACAUACAAAUAUAACAUCAAAAGAAAGUUAAUGAUACCCAUAUUGUCCAUAUUUAAGUUAGAUUCAAAACGAGUUCUAAAAAUUAAUUUAAAAAUAAUAGGGGUAAAAUCAGACUUUUAUUUUAGAAACCAGUCCCCAAGAUUAUAGGAGUCUACAGUUAUAAACCCACACGAAAAUGAGAUCUGAAUCGUAGAAAAAUUAUUUUUAAGCUUUACUGAUAAAACUUCAAAAAUUCAUAUCAAAAUCGAGGUUAAAAGGUGUUUUAGAAGAGAUAAUCAAUAAGUAAUAAUAGAAAGAUGAGUUCAGAGGUUACCCACAUGAAAAAUGAUGAGAAAGUCCUAGAAAAUCGUCUCUCCCGAAACUUGGAGGUUCAAAAAUGGAGGAAAAUUGUGAGUAUUAAACUAUAUAUAUUUUUUCAUCAUUGUCCGCUUAAGAGGCUAAAUGAUCGCUAAAGCGAUCGCUGCUAAAAUGAUUGGUGACCGCUAAAGCGACCUGUCCACCAUGUCUGGCUCCGCAACAGGGAUCCACCAUUGCUAAAGCGGUAAAGUGCCCGCUUUAACAAUGAGGCGACUGGUCAAAGUGACCGCUAAAACAGUGCAUUGCUGCGACAUUGGCUACCACUAAAGUAGUCUAUUGGCCGCUAAAGCACGUCUGCACUAGCUUCAACUGCAUCAAUAACUUUGCUAUUUUGCAAAGUUGCCAAUCAACCCCUUGAGUUUCAUUCGAAAUGGACUAUGCUACUAAAUUAAAUUCGAUAUUAUGGACUCAAUGAUGACGUAUUUUUUAAAAAUUAUUUUGAACAAAUUACUCUCGGCAACCCCUUAAAGCUUAUUAAAAAUUAGUUUUCAAUCGGAGGGUCGAAAUGCAAACUAAUGAUUCCAAACCUGAAUCAACCACGCUACUAACUCAAUAUCAAUGUUUCCGAUCUAAUGAAAUUGUUCAAAUUUCCAUCUGAUGCUCAAAACAUAAAAUGCUGAUCGAAGUCAACUAUAGAACUUUUAAAACCUCUACAAAUCCCAAACUCUUUUAAAACCCUUUCAAAAACAUCGAAAACCAUGUCAAUCAUCUCCACACCUUAAAAUCAACUUGCUGUAACAAUGAGAAAAAACAAAACUUUUAAAUCCCAUUAAAAAUAAAAUUUCACAAAUCAAAUCAUCACACUUUUAUUAGAGUAGUUUGUUUCACUAAUGAUAAAAAGCAAUCACAUGCACAUAAAAACCAGUUAUAUAGAAUAAAAAGUUCACAGUCAUGUAAGGAGAUUAUAAACUUUUUGCUUCCACAAUUUGCUUUUACUUGUCACUAAUUUUUUCAUUGAAUUUUUAUUUUUAUUUGUCAUUUUUGACAUAUAAAAAAAAGACAACUUAUUUUUUCUUAUUUUAUCCUUAACAGUAAUUGCUUACUCCCUCCGUUUUAAAAUAGUUGACCUCUAUUGACUUGACAUUCUCCUUAAGAAAAAAUUUAUUAGAGGUUUAUUUUAUCAAAUUAGUCUUCUUAAUUAUGUUUUGAAAAUAAUGAAUCAUUUAAUAAUAAGAGUAAUAUUCAAAAACAUAAUAAUAAUCUCUUGAUUUCAUAAAAAUAACAAUUAAAUUGAAAUAAAUAUUUUUGAAAGAGAGCCAACUAUUUGAAACGGAGAGAGUAUACUCUAAACUAAUCUCAAAACACACUAGUAAUUACCAAUUAAUAGUGGGUACGAUGGUAAAAUAAUCAUAUAUUAAUAACAUUUUUCUUAAUGAACGUACCAAAUUAACAAAUAAAAGUAAACGAAGGGAAUAAUUAUGUAGUACAUGUAAGUAGCUAGUGGGAUUGCAUUUGGAAACCGUAGUCCCUAAAACAAGUUGAUCAAUAGUAUUUCCUUUGUCCAUCUUUACUUGUCCAUAUUUGAUUUAACACAUAUUUUACGUAACAAUAAAUAAAAGGGCAAUCUUAUUAUAUUUAUGCAAUUAAUUAUUAGUCAACUAAAUAUUGAAAAAUGAAUAUAUUAAAUAAUAAGGAUAAAAUAGAUACAAAAUAAUAAACUAUAUAUAAUUUUCUAAAUUAAACAAGUAACGUUGAAUAACUAUUUUAAGUAUGCUGAAAAAGUAAAAAUUGAUGGAGAGAGUACUUGGUAGUAAGCAUGUCUAAACAUGGUGACAUUGUUAUAGGAUCAUCGCAUAUACAUGUCAUCUAAAGAUGCUAUACAGAUUUUGGUAGAUGGGAAAUGGGGAACAAGAUAAUUAAGAUGAGUUUAUUUAGCCUGCCAAUUUGAUACAGGUGGACGCUGUGCUGCUUUCACGUUGCCCGUUUUCUGUGUACGUAGUACUGUAGUAGUUGUACGAGGUAGCAUAUUCCUUUUUUUUAAAAAAAAUAAAAAAUAAAAAAAUAGAGACCAGAAAAGGUUUACAUUCUUGUGUCUUGUGUGCAUAUUGAAUGAUUUCUUGUGAUGUACGGGACAACUAGACACUUUUUCAGUGUUGUGUAUAUCUAUUUGGUAUCCGGCAUUUACAUGUUAGAUUCUUAAUUGGCAGUCAAUAGCAAAGAUCAAGACACAAGUACAAACAUAAACUUGAUAUAUAACAAAGAAAGCGUACCCUUCAUCUCCAUUAUUAAGCAGCGGUAGCAACGUCGACGGUUAAACUUAAGACCAACUUAAACCAUCCUUCAGCUAUAUCAAACCAAUGGAGCGUCAACCGCUAUACCACGUAUUCAAGAAGAAUAUAGGCUAGAGUUUUCUAGUGGCUAGGGAAAAGGAGUUUGCCUCUAUUUAUAGAGCAUCUACCCAUCAUAGACUAAUUGUUAUUGGACCUAACUUAUCCACACACAUAAUAAUUCAAUAUUAUGUCUUUUAUUAAUCCACCACUUAAACAUAAAAAAAUCAUGAUAUGUUUUGGAAAGACUACAUGAGGAUAUGAGUGAGCAUUAACAUCCAAAAACCACUUAAACGAUCAAUGAAAAUUAGGCAGCCAGGUGGUGAAUGUGUGCAAAACACAUUUAAGUAUGAAAGAUUGGGAACUUUUUUUUUUCUUUUGUGGUUUGAUUGGUUAUACGAACAAGUUUUGGUGCAAACUAUAUCAUCAUUUAGAAAUUGCUAAAGUACAAUUUCUUUAUGGGUUGAAAUUGCGUGCUGAACGACAACAAACAACCAUGGAUGGCAUGCAAUGGAUUAGGUCGGAAAAUAGAUCAGCGGGAGGCACGUGACAUAAUAAGAAGGGAGAGUAUUAUUCAAAUGAAUUGGGUAUGACAAAGGAAAACAACUCAAAGAAUGAGGAAGAAAAUAAUGGGGAAGUGAGGGAGGGAAAGGGAAAGAACACACAAAAUAAGGGAGAAAGUGAUGUGCAUUGUGGGAAUAAGAGUAUUAAUAAUAACAUAAAAGAUUAUGAGACUUGAGAUGCGUUGGAAAUAAAUUUACUAAUGAAAAGGGAAGAGGUACAGAGGGGUGGGUUUCAGAGAGGCUGGAUAGAGCCCUUUCAACAGCUAGUUGGCGCGUACUGUUCAAUAAAGCUAUAGCGUACCAUUUGAAAACUGCUUGUAGUGAAGAUAUGAUGCUUUUUAUCUCCUUAGGAUUAAGUAUCAUUCGAUAUUCACUAGAGAAGUUUUGCUUUGAAAACUCAUGUCUUUGGAAAAUAGAUGUUAAAAAGGUAGUGGAGGAGGGUUGGACCCAGGGAAAGGGAUAACAUAUUACAUCUCAAAUUGAAUACUGAAGGAGUUUUUUACAAUCCUGGGGUCGUAACAAAAAAAAUAAUUCCAAUCAAAGAUGACGUAUCGCAAGACACAGAUGAAGAGACUUAGGCAGUAGUAGAAACCUGAGUCACAUUGCUCUAUAUAAUAGUGCCAAAGAUUCUUAUGAAAUCCUAUUAAGGCAACAAGAAUACUACUAGAAACAAAGAGCCAAACAAUUUUGGCGUCAGAGUGGUGAUAGAAAAAACCAUAAUUUUUAUCUUAUGGCUUCUUCACAAUGAAAAACAAAUACAUUUACACAAUUGAAAGAUGAGUUUGAAAGUUGAUUUGAUUGGGAGAAUGCAAGCGAUCUUAUUGUGAAAUGUACUGGUAUGCUAGAUGACGUAAGGCUGAAUGGAAGGGUUCAUAUGCAUGAACAGUACUGAUUGAAUGAUAUAGAGUAACCGAAUUUGAGUGUACAUGGAUAACUGAAACUGCUGUAAAUACUGAGUAUGUAAUAUGGUGCACAUAUUUAUAUAUAUACACUGUAUUUGAGCUUUUUUGAAGGUAAGUACUGAGUUCUGGUAACUGAGAAACUGAUAUCAGAAGUUACUGAUAACGGAAUUACUGAUACUAAGUGACUGUGUAGAAAUAAACUGAGUUCUAGACUGAGACUGAAACUGAUACUGUGGGAAGUAAUCAUCUAACCGACAUGCCCCAAAUUUGAGCUGUCUGUGACCCUAGUUGGAGGGGUGCUAAUACAGUGCCAUGGGUACUAAUACUGGAAAACCAGGAUGCCGAGCCUAACAGACGGGUGACACUUGGGUGAAGCCAAGUCUAAUCUAACGGGAGACCCCUGGGAGGUAGUCAAGCCUAGUCUAACGGGUGACUCUUCAUCUUGCAUUGGCUAUGCAGUUCUGGAGUACAAGGAUUGCUACUAAAGACUCUGCCGCUCUGAUGGGGAAGCUGUCAUUACUGCACUCGCUCAGUGCUAAAUCCUACUCCCAACUGAAAGACACUGAUUAUUAAACUGAACUGAACUGGACUGAUACUGAGCUUUACUAAGUUCGAAAGCUGUGAGUUCACUGAAUUCUGCUAACUGACUGAGGGCUACUGAUCGUGACGCUACUGAGACUAUUCUGUAACUAAAUGUGGCUCUAGGUAAACAACUAGAUUUUUGGGUAUUAAAUACCCCAGGACUCGAUAGCAUGGAAAGUAAGACAUAGCAUGAUCAUAAAGACAUAACAAUACUUGCUUACUAAUAAUGCACUCAUUUCUUAAUGCACAUAAUCAUGAAUAACAUAUAAACAUUGCAACUACAAUGCCAAAUCUUGCAAAUUCAUGGGUUAUAACAUGAGAAUUACACAAUUCAAGGUACAAUUUAUCAUGGAUUGAAACUCCAUUAAUGUCAUGAACAUGAAUACAGUCCAAUUUCAAGAAUAUAAAUCAUGAAUUAACAAUCUUGUAGUUUCAAAAACGGAUUCGUGGACUUUAUGGGUGAAAGAAACCCAUAGAUGAACACCUAACAUACCUGAGAGAUUAAUCCUUGAAUGUUCUUAGUGAAAUUAUUGAGGAUUGACCUUGAUUUUUGAAGCUAGGGCUUUUGCCUCUUGAGAUAAAAUGUUGUAAUCCUUGAGUGAAUACUGAAAUAAUGAGCAAUUAGUGCUUCUUUAGGGCUAAAUUUCGUGUUUUAAGCUGAUUAGGGCAGUGGAAAAUGACUCAAAUACCCCUGAAAUAAUUUAAAAACUCGAAACUUAAAACUGAAAAUCUCAAUUUUGUAUGCUGGCACGACGUGCUACAAUCUCGCUAGCUCACUGAAAACUGGACAACUGGGAACUAGAAGCUCGGCGCGACGCAGUGAAAUCGCGGUGCCUUAUUGGAUGGGAAUUUGACCCUUAGCGCGAUGCGGUGUAAUCGCGUUGCCUUAUUAGAAUUUGACAAUUGUGAACUGACGCUAUGGCGUGACGUGCCAUUAUCAUGGAGUAACACUGAAAUUUUCCAAUUGCCAUUUGGUUGGCCUCUGCGACGCACUGAAGUGCCAGUUGGCACACCGUCUUACUAAAAUGGCUCUAACUCUUCACCCGGGUAUCAAAUUCGAGCGAAUUUUAUAUUAUUGGAAAGCUGACUGAAUUUUCUACGCAUUGGUAAGCUCUACACUGAAAAAUACUGAGUAUUUCAAAAAUUUUAUUUAGGAUAACUCAUGUACUGAGAGUUAAAUUAAGCUGGGGAAAUACGGGGUAUUACACUAUCCAAACUUAUCGUGAGUGGCACCCACCAUCUAUCCCAAAACUACUCUCUUAUAAUCAAUACUUAGAAGAGUUAAUAAACUAAUUCAUUAAAAGAUAUUUAAAUCCAAAAGCAAAAUAUAAGUACAACUACUUGCGGAACAUCGCACUUAACAAAACCAUCUCUAGAGCUUGAAAGUUGCCUGUACCAAAACAUCUAAGAUUGUCAAGAAGGGGAUGCAACCCUAAAACUAAGAAAAUGCACUCGUCCCCAAACAAAGGACAAAGUCAUUAGAGAAACAUCUCAUGGUGGCUCGAGUAUGCUACUCAUCCUAAAAUUUGAAUCACCCAUUGGACUCAUAAUUGAGGUCUCGCAAAAUUCGCUGAAAUAUGUAUUGCACUCAAUAAAGUAAAAGCGGGUGUAGUAGCACACAAGAAAAUAAUGGUGUACUUGUAGGGUCAUUUGGCCAACCCAAGAUAAGGAUAUAAACGUAUAACCAAAAUAUAGUACAACAAGUUAAUCCAUGCUCAUUCUAACCUACUCUAGCAUAACAAGUAUCAAUUAACAGUUUAGGAUUACAAGCACUAAGUCAAGUCAUUUAGAACCAAGUCAAAAAAUUCAAGCCCAGUCAAAACCAAUCAAGACAAGUUAAGCAAUAAUUAAGGAUAUAAAUCUAAUUCCCAAUUUACUCAUGGAAUCAUAAAACUAGGGGUGGGCAUUCGGUAUUCAGUACGAUACUUUUGAAGUUUGGGUUCGGUAAUUUGAUAAUCAGUAUUUGAGAGUAGAUACCACAUACCAUACUUUAAAACAUCGGUUCGGUAAUUUGGAUAUCGGUAAAUUAAGAUUCGGUUUGGUACGAUAUUUGGUAAUACCAUAUUAAAGUUGGAGGUUCGCAAACUACGUUUAAACUUCAAAAGUAUAUUUAAUAGAAACCCUAUUUAAUAUUAUUUUUUGUGCUUUUUAUGAACAUAUUACCAAGGUCGAAGAGAUCCAUUAGAAUAAUAACUAAUAUUAUAGUCUACUGGGUUAGUUAGACAUAUCGUAUUAUUNNNNNNNNNNNNNNNNNNNNNNNNNNNNNNNNNNNNNNNNNNNNNNNNNNNNNNNNNNNNNNNNNNNNNNNNNNNNNNNNNNNNNNNNNNNNNNNNNNNNNNNNNNNNNNNNNNNNNNNNNNNNNNNNNNNNNNNNNNNNNNNNNNNNNNNNNNNNNNNNNNNNNNNNNNNNNNNNNNNNNNNNNNNNNNNNNNNNNNNNNNNNNNNNNNNNNNNNNNNNUAUAUAAUUUGGUAUAUGGUAAAUACCGACUACCAAACGGUAUUAAUAUUUUAUACCAAACCCAAUCCCGAAUACAAAAAUAUUGAAAUUUUACUCCCAAAUUUCAUACCAAAUACCAAAUUACCAAAUACCAAUUAUCAAUUUUUUUGGUUUGGUUCGGUAAUUCGAUUUUUGGUAUUUUAUGCCCAUCCCUAGUCAUAGAAUGGGAGGGAGAUUCCUUAGCACCAAAGAAGAGGUUCAUAUCUUAUCUUAGAUCCCGUAAGCUGAUAUUCAGGGGUUAUUAUGUAUCAUCUAGUGGGGUCAAAGAUUCUGGUAUCAAGAGUUCCUUUUUUCAUUCGGUACCUGUAGUUAAUGAGUUCUCCAAAGUUUUUUUCGAUGAUCUCCCUGAGAUUUCCUCAGAUAAGGAGAUAGAAUUUGGAAUUGACCUGCUACCCGACACUAAGCCCAUUUCCAUUCUGCCAUGUAAGAUGGCUCAUACCGAGCUAAUAAAUUUGAAAGAGCAGUUGAAAGACCAACUUGAUAAAUGUUUUAUCUGUUCAAGUGUUUCUCCUUGGGUUCUUCCAUACUCUUCGUGAAAAAGAAAGGUGGUUCAUUUAGUAUGUGUAUAGAUUACCGUCAGAUUAAUUAGGUAAACUGAAGAAUAAGUAUCCCCUUCCCAAAAUUGAUGAUCUCUUUGACUAGCUCUAGGAUGCUAAGUAUUUUUCUAAAAUAGACCUCCGUUCGAGUUAUCACUCAUUGAAAGUUAGGGAGGCUGAUAUUCCUAAAAUUAUAUUUCGAACCUCAUAUGUUCAUUAGGAAUUUUUGGUUAUAUCCUUUGGAUUGACUAAUGCACCUGUAAGUUUCAUGAAUCUCAUGAAUAUGAUGCUCAGAUUGUUUUUGGAUUUAUUCAUCGUAGUCUUCAUUGACGAUAUUUCGGUGUACUCUAAGAGUGAGAAGGGCCAUGCCAAUCACCUCUAGAUUGUACUUCCGACCCUUAAGGACCAACAACUAUAUGCCAAAUUUUCCAAGUGUAAGUUUUGGCUCACUGCUGUGACUUUUCUAGGGAACGUUGUAUCUAGUGAAGGGAUUAAAGUUGAUCCUCAGGAGAUUGAAAUGGUGAAGAAAUAACCUAAACCGAUAACUUCAACCGACAUUCAGAUCUUCUUAGGUCUGGUAUGUUACUAUAGGAGAUUUGUUUUGUCUAUAGUUAUAACACUUAUCAGGUUGACUCAAAAAAAGGUAAAGUUCUUGUGGUUCAAGGCCUGUAAGAAUAGAUUUGAGAAUCUAAAAAAUAGGUUGACUACCACCUAUGUUUUGACACUUUUUGAAGGUAUUGAAGGGUUUGUUGUGCAUUGUGAUACGUCCCGAGUGGGACUCAGUUGUCUACUUAUGCAAAAUGGUAAAGUGGUAGCUUAUGCGUCUAAACAACUUAAGGUUCAAGAGAAAAACUACCCCAUCCAUGAUCUAGAAUUGACGGUUAUGGUGUUCGCACUUAAGAUUUAGCAUCACUACUUAUAUGUGGCUGAAUUUUACAUCUUCACUGAUCGCAAGAGUUUGCAGCAUGUGUUCACACAAAAGGAGUUGAAUCUCAGGAAAAGGUGAUGGCUUAAACUGUUGAAGGAUUAUGAUAUGAGCUUGCACUAUCAUCUAAGUAAGGAUAUUAUUAUUGUUGAUUCUCUUAGCAGGUUAUCCAUAGGCAACCUAAGAGGGAUUUUGUAAAGAAUAUUCACCGACUUGUUAAUUCGAAAGUCCAACUCUUACACUCUAAGGAUAGAGGAGUGAUCGUUCACGAGGUGGCUAGUUCAUCCUUGUGUGUUGAAGUUAAGGAGAAGCAAGCAAAUGACCCCAUAUUGAUGCAAAUCAAGAAGGCUGCUGGUCAAUAAAAGAUUUUAGCCUUUGAGAUUGGAUGAGAUAGUAUAUUGCGGUAUAAAAGGAGACUUUAUGUUUUGAAUGUUGAAGGGUUGCAAGAAAGAAAAUUGGUUGAGGCUCAUGUUUUUAGGUAUGUCGUUUAUCCCGAUUUUAGUAAAAUUUAUCAUAACCUAAAAAGGUGUAUUGGUGGACUAAUAUAAAGAGAGAUAUGUCAAAUUUUGUUAUUAAGUAUUUAAAUUGCCAGCAAUUUAAAGUUGAGCACUUGAGACCAGGUUGUACCUCCCAAGAUAUAGUUACUUCCAUUUGAAAGUGAGAGAUGAUUAACAUAGAUUUUAUUAUCGAUCUGUCGCGUACCCGAAAUCAAUACGACUUUAUUUGGGUUAUUUUUUUUUAUCGGUAAGGAGUAAUUAUUUGGGAGAGGAUUAUGCAAAGCUAUAUAUUUAGGAGAUUGUACGGUUGCAUGGUGCUCUCAUGUCUAUUAUAUCUGAUAGAGGCACAGAUUUUUCUUGGACGAUCUUUUCAGUGAGGUUUGGGGAUGCAGGUGAAUCGUAGCACUGCUUUCUAUCCUCAAAUGGAUGGAUAGGUGAAACAUACUAUUCAUACCUUAGAAGAUAUGUCGAGAGCCUGCGUAAUUAAUUUCAAAGGUAGUUGGGUUGAACAUUUGCCUCUUUGAGAGUUAACCUGCAGUAGCAGUUAUUACUCUAGCAUACAUAUAGCUUAUUUUGAAGCUCUUUAUGAUAGAAGGUAUAGGUCACUGAUUGGUUGGUAUGAGGUAGGUGGACCAGAUUGUUCAAAUCUGAUCUUGUGCAUCAAGCGAUGGAGAAAGUGAAGGUUAUUAGGGAGCGGCUUAAGACUGCCCAAAAUUAUCAAAAGUCCUAUGUUAAUGUGAGACGGAGGAAGUUAAGAGUUUAAGGUGGAUAAUUGGGUAUUCUUGUCUAAGGUAAACCAUCCUCUUCUCCCUAUCUAAGUCAAAAAAUUACUGUCACACCUUUUUUUUAACCAAAAAAGAUUAAUUUUAAGUUUGAAAGGAUUUUUAUUAUUAAGUGACAAAAAUGAAAAAUUAUUUUUGAAAAGGAUUGUUUAUAUUCAAAACUCAGAGUCGCCACCUAGCAUAAUCCGGUGUGCCAAGUCACCUUUGGAAAAUCCUUUUCAAAAUAAUUUGACUCUUUAAAUUGGUUUGCGAACAGAGAUUUCGGCUAAGAAAUUAUGUUGACUGAGGGGAAGGUGUUAGACAUCCCUCGGUCUCGUGGUUUGACCACGGUCGUUUGAUGGAGCGUAUCGGCUAAUUUGACAUUAUGGAUGUAUAAACCACACAAAACACGCAAAACAAUCAAUCAAUCAAACAAACAAAACUAAUUUAAAAUAUAGUGUCCAGUCCAAUUAUACAGUCCAAAAUAGAAAAAUGUGAAAAUAUAAAUCCUAUUCUAAACUAGUCCUAGGCUAAACUCUGAUGCCUUACCCGAUGCGUCGGGCAUUCAUCACAGACGUGUUUCGAGUACAAAAUACUUCGGGGUAUUCUCCAAUGAAUAAAUACAAAUAAACUCAGGGCAUUUCCCGGCUAAAUGAAUACAUUUUCUAAAUACGAGAAAAAAUAGAAUCGUUCAACACAACAUUCCAAAUAUUUAACAAUAUUCCUCAAGUCCUGAAUUUGCCUACCCGAUCCUAAACUUUGCAUAUUAAGCUUUCGGCCUAAAAUAUGAUCCUAUCGAGUUCACAAACUUGAUAUUUUUUCCAAAUUAAACAAAACAACAAUAAACCAAAAUUGAUCUAAAUUCACCCUUUUUAUCAAUUUCUCAAUUCCACCUCAAAUUCCCUUUUGUACGUCACUUUUCACACAAAAACGAUUAUCCAAACUUAUGCUAACAUCAACUUCAUACCAUGAUUAAUUAUUCACGGAUAAACAAUAUCGAACAUCAACAAAAUCAUCCAAUCACAACCCAACAACACACAAUCAUAGCAUCAAUGCACUAAAUCGAAACAAAAUGAAAAGAGAGAGUCAAAGAAAUGAACCUCAAGUGUCGAUUUCAAUAUAUCAAAGAUAGAACCGCGCCGAAGAACCCCAAUUUAAACCUCAACCAUGAAUAAUUCCUACUAGGUAUAGAAUUCAACCCCGAACCAAUUUAAAAGUAGAAGAAAACCUCAAUUCGGAUCUUAAAUUGCCAAUUUCAAACCAACCCCACCGCGUCGAUCCCGAAUUUGAUUUUGAACACACACCCAUAAAGAAAAAGGGACAAUCUGAAACAACUAUACGCAAAUCCAAACGAAAUACCAACGCUAACGCGAAUCCAAGUCGGUUUUAGGGAAAAUGGGGGCUGGUGGUGUCGUUUCUGAUGGAUUUAGCCAGAAGAGAAAUGAACGGCAGCUGGUACUGCUUUUCGGUGAAGAAUCCAAUGGGUUUCAGGCAAGAAACUCACCGAAAAAUAGUCAUUGAGCGUAUAUUUCUCCCUCUCUCUUGAUUUUUCUCUCUCUCUCUCUCUCUCGAUGCCGUCUUUCUGUCGACUUUCGAUUUCUCUCCUUCGAUCAAUCUCUCUCUCAAUUUGCUCUAUCUCUCUUCCUUUUCUUUACCUCCCUCACCCUUCGAUUCUCUCUAAUCACAUAUCUAUUUCUGUGUGUGUGCGACAGUGUGUGAGUGUAUCAUAUAUGGAUGGUGAUGAAUCCCCCCCUCUCUGUGCGGAUGUGAGUCUAUAUAUUUAUGUGGAUCACUGGAAACCAAAAUGGAGGGAUCGGGUUAUUGUUGUUGUCUAGGUGGGUGCGCAUGAGUGUAUUUUAUGUGUUUGUUCCAGUGAAUAGACCUCUGUCCAUGGAAAUUGGGAGGAUUUUUUUUUUUGUGUUGUAUCUUCAAAAAAGGGUCUAAUAUACCCUUCAACUAUUGAAAAUGGUACAUAAAUACCCUUCUUCCAUCUGUAGGUUCAAAAAUACCCUUUUAUCCAUCAGUUUAGCUCAAAAAUACCCUUAAUGUAUUAGAAAUGACUCAAAAAUAUCCUUCUUCCAUUUAUUGGUUCAAAAAUGUCUCUCCAUCCACCUAUUUGGAUAAAAAAUGCCCUUAACAUUAAAUUUAAGUCCAAAAAUGUCUCCUCCUUUUAAUAAAUUUUGAUGUGGAAUAUAAUUUUUUUUAAAAUUAAAUACAUGACAUUAUUUUUAUUGGUUCACAUGUAAUUAGACUCAAAUUCAUUCACAAUUUAACCCAUUCAGUAUACUCCCACAAAAGAUAAGUGUACGUCUAUAGUAUAAAUAACAAAAAUUAAUAACAAAAACUAAGGAAUCGCUCGAAUCACCACGAUGAAAAAUUAGAUUGAUUAUAUAACAACAAACAGCAACAUAUUCAGUAUACACCCACAAAACACGUCUGAAAAAAGUAAGUGUACGUCCGUAAUAUAAAUAAUAAAAACUAAGGAAUUGCAUUAUCUAAUAAAAUCUCAAUACAAAGUAAUGCGUGAUUAUAAAGAUAUAAAGCCAAAGUAAUUAACUAAUAAUUAAUUACAUAAUAUUAAAAGGGAGAACCAAAUAAUUAAUUUUCAUAGGGUUAUGUUCUACGAUUUUUCUAUCAAAAAUCUUUGUAAAAUAUUUAAUUUUCAUCAAUUUGCUGUAUUUUUUUUUGCAUGCUUUCUAUACGUCCGAGCUGUACUUUUUAGCACGCAUGCGCAAUGGUGACAUUAAAAAAUAUUCACUUGAUUAAUAAUUAAAGGAAAAUAAAUAUAUUGGGAAAAUAAAAGAUACAUUAUCUUAAAAGGAAGAGUCCCUCAAUAUAAAAUUAUAAAAUAAAUAGUAAAAUGGAGUAAACUCGCACAAUAAUAAUAACACAUCCAGUGUAUUCUCAUGAAAUAGGGACUGAAAAGAGUAUAAAAUAUACACAGUUCAUAUGAUGGCAGAGCCACCUUUGCUCCAGGGGUUCACCCGAACCACCUUCGACGAAAAAUUAUACUAUUUUUAUAUUUGUUUUUACAUGGUUAAAAAUAUUUUUAUGCAUAUAUAGUAGAUAUUGAACCCCCUUCGACUAGUUCGAAUUAUAUACUUCUGAACCCCCUCGAUGAAAAUUCUGACUCUGUCACUGAAACUGAGUCUACACCACUACCGCAGAGGUAAGGUAUUGGUAUGUCCAAAAUCAUGCUUACCAAAGUAUGUCCAAUCCAAAUGCAUUCCUUUAGGAUUAGGUGCGAGUUAAGAUCAUUAUUCAGUCAGAUCUUUUAAAAUUGGUUCCCAUUAGUGGGUUAAAUUGUGAAUGAAUUUGAGUCUAAUUACAUGUAGACCAAUAAAAAUAAUGUCAUGUAUUUAAUUUAAAAAAAAUUAUAUUCCACAUCAGAAUUUGUUAACAAGAGGAGACGUUUUUGGACUUAAAUUUAAUGUUAAGGGCAUUUUUUAUCCAAAUAGGUGGAUGGAGGAGCAUUUUCGAACCAAUAGAUGGAAGAAGGACAUUUUGAGCCAUUUCUAAUACAUUAAGGGUAUUUUUGAGCCAAAUAGAUGGAUGAAAGGGUAUUUUUUGGGCCUAAAGGUGGGAGGAGGGUAUUUGUGUACCACUUUCAAUAGUUGAACGGUAUAUUAGACCCUUUUCUAUUGUAUCUUCUAUGUGGGUAUGGUAAAAAAUAUGACAAGGCGUGGGGUAUGUGGGUAGGGGUAGGGUAGAGGUGAGGGUUGUGAGUUGGUUUGAGAUAAAGUUUGUUAGGAUAAGGGAAUAUUAAGGAUUUAAUUUGUUAGGGAUUUAGUAAAAUUUUGUUAUUUUUGUAUAUUUGUACGGUAUAAUCACAUGGUGAGGGUGUAUGACAACGUGAGGUAAAAAUGGAUUAAUUGGGAUAUUGGGAGGAACAAAAUUAGGUGUCUACAAUUACCAAAGUUUGAGAGCCCCAAGGUUAAGUUUUGUUCAAUUUCUCUCUAUCAAAGGUAUUUAGAACGAUCUGAAAUACACAGGGUUUUAAUUAUGUUCUUUUAAACUCUCUUUAGUGUUUAGAUUAUGGGAUUUCAUUUAACUACAAGAGUAUGUUUUCAAAUUUGCGCUUAUGUCAUAAUUAUAAACUUUUGUUAAACAUAUAUAUUAUAUUGUGAUUGAUGAUGAGAAUGAAGUUGUCAAUAUUUUUAUUUACUUAAUUAUUCAUGUAGACAGUUUCGAAGAGUAUUACUCGUGUUAAUGUAGCUCUUUUUUCUUUUGGUGUUAUUUGAAUACAACUGAAUGUCAUGUGUUUCUUCUAAGAUUUUUUGAAGAAUCUUGAAUGAGAAAUAUGUUUACUUAAACUAUCAAAUCGAAUUAAAAGAGCAUUAUUAUUUGACCUUUGAACAUCUUUACGGUGGUCGCUGAAUCAUGGCAUGUAAGAGAUUAAACAAAAAGUAUAAUAUAGCUCACACGACUUGUAAGUCUUGGUAUGACGAUACCAAAUCAGAAAUGGCCAUUCAUAGACAAAAUCAGUUUUUAGAAAAAUUAAUGUUUUUAAAGAUAUUAAAAUAAGGGCUUAAAGAGAGUUAAAUGGCUAACCAAGACGGCAUGAGUUGAAAAGCUUGUAGCCCAAAAUCGUGUUUCUCCGACACAGGCUUGAUUAUGUCCUGAAAUAUGAAUAAUCAUUGUAUACUUAUUUUAUGCUAUUGGUAUAUCAGACUUCAGUGACUCUAAUCCUUGCGGUAAACUUGGAUUAGGGGCCUAUCCGACAAGUUAAAGUCGGACCCCAUAAAGCCCAUGGGAUUUUCAGAGAUAUUGGGAACGCCAUGUAACUCAGAACUAUAGAAAUCAGAAGAGGGUCCAAGAAAUCAGAUUUUUAACUCAGAGUUUAUGUUUACAUUUUGCUAAGUUGGCUUCUAAUCCUAUAAUGUAUUUUUUUAUUCAGAGUUUUGGCAAUCAUUGUUAUUUAAAUGUUAUUUUCUCUGGUCGUUCUACAUGCCAAUACAUUUCACAUAUUGAUUGUUCUCGGACGGCUGCAUCAUUUCAUGAUGUAGGUUCGGUGACUUAUUCUCACGGUCUAGCACAACAUUAGGAUUUGUUUCAGACAUCAUCUGGUACAAGCCUAAGGAGCACAAAAGAGUACAAGGCAUUAUCAAAGGUUCAAAAUUCAGAAUUGACAAGUAAUUGAAGGUCUUUUGGAGCAUUUUUGAAACCUUGUUCAAGAGAAGCUAAGAGGAGAACCUUUACACUCAAGAGGAGCCUCAAGUGAAGGUUAUAUAAAAUAUUUUACACAUUAAAAUCACACUCAAGAGGCACCCCAGUUCCCUUAUUCAUUAAGGGUAUUUUUGACAUUUACUAUGUAAUAGUAUAAAUAGACAAAUUAGUUUCUCUUUUCAUUAGACUUUGAUGAAUUGAAAUUUAGUAUUACUCUUAAUGUAGUUGUAGUUCAUAGUUUUCUUUAGCUUAGUGUAGUGUAGUCGAAACUUGAGAGAUUAAUACAUUUGAAGGAUUUUACUUGUAUUGAUCAACUGGCAAGAAAGGUGUGAUUGAGGAGUGUGAAUUUCUUUGGUCCACCUAAGAGUGUGGUUUUGUCUCCCGUUCGUGUUGUGUGUUUUGGUGUUUGAUACACACCUUGGUGCUAUUCAUUGCUGUGAGUGUAUGUCUCACUACUAUCCUUUACAUUUUAUGCACUUUUAUCUUCUUUUAUGUUGAAUCCGAAAUGUCUAUGUGUGUUUUGAAUCUUCUACUUCAUCCCCUUUCUUCUAUGUGUUGUUAAUUUUGGAUUUUUAGUGUUUGUUUGCUUUCUUUAGUGGCUGGUUUUUGUGUUUCUAGGUUUGUUCUUGUAUCAUUUGGUAUCAAGAGCCAUGUAUUAGAGUUGUUCCCACAACUCUAAGUCUUGGAUCUAAGAAAAUCUCCACAAAAAAAGUCAAAAAUCUGAAAAACUCAAAAAAAAAAAAUGGGGUUGUCUUGUUGUUUGUAGUAGAUCCGUGUGUUAAAAGUUAGAUCUACUAAAUUUUAUUGUGUUUUGUUGGUGAGGCUUUUGAACUAACUUGUUUGUUUGUUUUGUAGGUGUUGUCUUUGCUGUUUUUUUGCUUGUUCUUAUGUACUUUAACCAUGGAAUUUGAAGGUACCACAUCCCAAUCUUUGGGUAAUGAUGUUUUAGGAGCCUUGAUUGCUCGGUUUGAUUCACUAACCCGAGAUUUGAAGGGUGGGUUGGGAUCUAUGAUGGGUGACUUGAGAUCUAUGAAGGGUGACGUAGGAUCCAUGAGGGGUGACAUGAUUAGAAUUAAAGCGGGGUUGAUAGACUAUGUCAAUCAAAACCUCCACAAAAUUCAAACCACCAAGUCCCAAAUCCACUUGACCAAAGACCCUACACUCAACAAAACCCCAUGCCACAAAUUCAAAUCCUCGCUCAACCAAAUCCGAUCCCCCUCUCCAAACUUCCCUAAACCGAACUCAAUCCAUCCAAGUAGGAGAAGUGGGAGAUUUAGCACCCAAGGAGAAUGAGGCUAAGCCUCAAUAUGGAUAUAAAAUGAAUAGUGAGGUACAAGAAGGAUAUGAAGAAAGGAGGGAAAAGGAAAGGAAAAUCAUGGGUAGUGAAGUUAGAAGGGGAAAGAAAUGCUUGCUUAUGGAUUUUUUCCACAAAGAAUCCUUAUUACUCCCUAACCCAAAUACUAGCAUUUCGCCUAGUAUUUUAUCUUCUUAUGUGCAGGUUCAAGACCCUAGAAGUCCCAAGGAGAAACCCAGGGAAGUUCCCUUUAAGCCUUGGCCAAAAGUUUGGAUUUUGGGAUAAGUGAUGAAGAAGUAAGCCCAAAGGGAAACCUUGAUAUAAUCCCUUGUAAUAUGGAGCAUGAAGGCUGCCAUAAUACAAACACAAGUGAAGAACACACUUUCCAUGAUCUACAAGGUAACAAAGCUAUCUUCUACAAUCCUAGAAACUUGAAUUGUUGUGAUGUGGCUAGUAGUGGCCAAAGUGGUGUAGUUUCGAUUUGUGAUACUUUUGGUGAUGUUAGGUUCCUUAAGGACCAAGCUCUUGUUGGGAGUACGCAAACACUAGUUGAUCCUUUAGAUGACAACAUCAAUUCUUUUCAUAUGAAUAAUUUGUGUCAACCUAGUGCUAGCACUUAUAACUUGAAUAAGUUUCCCUUACGAAGUGACAAGAGUAUUCACACACUAGUUGGCCAUUGUGAAAAAAAAGUGGGCUGCUCUAGUACAAAUCAAGGUAAAAUUGGUACACUCUACACUCCCUUAAGUUUAAAAUAUUAUGAUAUGGCUAUUAGUAGCCAAGGUGAUGUGAAUUUGGGUUUACAUAGUGUAGAAGUACGUGCUUCUUUUCUUGGUAGUUCUCUCGUUGUUUAUAAUGAUCAAUGUGCUCCUAAGAAUAACUGACUACUUGAACAUGUGGAUGAUAUGCUUGAAAUAUCUCAAGUAGAUGUUGAUCUAGAUAAUGAGUAUGGUCCUUUUAACUUAUGUGAUGAAAGUCAUGAUAUUAGUCUUGUUCAUAGUGACCAUGUGUAUGUCAAAGUUGUGAGAAAUACCUUGGGUGAUUGUGGAAUUGAUUCUCUAGUAAAAGGAAUAGCUAACCUCGGUUUAGAUCCUUGUCUAUUUCUUUCAUUUGAUCCCGGUAUAUUAUUGGGGUGAGGAAGGUUGUGUUUCGGAUUGUAUUUCUUUUUCCUUGACGUCUCUCGUAACCGUUUCCUUUGUGAUGCUUGUAGUAAGUAUUUCAUGAUCAGAACAAAGGAUUAUUGAUUGUAUUUCAAAUAUGUACCCCCUUGGCUUAAUAGACUAGUGAAAGGAAUGGCUCCUCUCGGUUUAGACCCUAGUUUACUAUUUUUAUUUGAUCCUGGUGUACUUGUGGGGUGUGGGAGGUGUAGUUUCGGUCCAUGCUCAUUAUAUUUUAAUAUUGAUGCUAUUCACUUCUUUGGUAUCCUUUAUGCUAAGUUUCUCAUGUUGAAUACCAAGGAUAUUUGGGUGUAUGUUAAGUGUGAACAACCAUGGAUUGAUGAUAUGAGUGUGGUACUAAUACUAACCCUCCUAACAAGAGGAUUGUGUGCUUGUUUUGCUCUCUCUUUGGUUUUGCAAGAUAUGAAUUUGAGGGCAAAUUCCUUUUAGUACAAGGCAUUAUCAAAGGUUCAAGCUUCGGAAUUGACAAGUGAUUGAAGGCCUUUUGGAGUAUUUUUGAAGCCUUGUUCAAGAGAAGCUAGGAGGAGAACCUUUACACUCAAGAGGCGCCUCAAGUGAAGGGUAUAGAAGACAUUUUACAUAUUAAAGUCACACUCAAGAGAUGGCCUAAUUCCCUUAUUCAUUAAGGGUAUUUUUGACAUUUACUAUGUAAUAGUAUAAAUAGACAAAUUACCUUCUCUUUUCAUUAGACUUUGAUGAAUUGAAAUUGAGUAUUACUCUUAGUGUAGUUGUAGUUCAUAGUUUCCUUUAGCUUAGUGUAGUGUAGUCGAAACUUGAGAGAUUAAUACAUUUGAUGGAUUUCACUUGUAUUGAUCAAUUGGCAAGAAAGGUGUGAUUGAGGAGUGUGAAUUCCUUUGGUCCACCUAAGAGUGUGGUGUUAUCUCUCAUUGGUGUUGUGUGUCUUGGUGUUUGAUACACACCUUGGUGCUAUUCAUUGGUGUGAGUGUAUGUCUCACUACUAUCCUUUACAUUUUAUGCACUUUUAUCUUUUUUUAUGUUGAAUCCGAAAUGUCUAUGUAUGUUUUGAGUCUUCUACUUCAUCCCCUUUCUUCUAUGUGUUGUUAAUUUCGAUUUUUUAGUGUUUGUUUGCUUCCUUUAGUGGCUGGUUUUUGUGUUUCUAGGUUUGUUCUUGUAUCAUCAUCAGACUUGUUGAGCCCUCCAUCUUUAGGAAGGCGGAUUAUGUUAGCCGUUUGGUAUUUACUUUCGUUCUAUGGUAUGGUCAGGGCCUUGUCUCAGCCUAGUCAUAUUUCACUAUGUUAGAGUCUUUGUGGACGGGAUUUAUUUAUGGAUUUUAUUUAAUAAAUGUUCAGAAUUUGAGAUCAUUGCUUAUGUAAUUGAAUCUCUUGACUGAGUUUAUUUUUCCGCAACUUAUUUGAUUUUAUACAUGUUAUGAGUCUAUGCUAAGGGGCUUUCUUUGGCCCUCCAAGGUUUGGAAAUGCCUGUUGCAGCCAGGAUGUCGACUCGAAUCGUGACUAUAUAUUGGUUGUACCACGUCAGCAUUUUCUUCAAAAUUUAUGUGCCAGGUCUAACAGUUUUAUAAACAAAAACUUUAAAAUGAGGAAAAAUGAAGAAUCUAAGAAGUGAAAUUAACAUGCAGUGAUAGUAGACAAGUAGUUUAAUGCAUCUUGUUGGAUCGUCCACGUUCAUGUAUAUAGUGGGAGUCGAAUCACAUUUGCUUUGGUGCUAGCGGACAAAUGUACAACGUACAUGGAAUACUCAAUUUAAAAAAAUAAUUAAAAGAAGAAUAGAACUUGUUAGUCGAUGUGAUUUGAGGUUGCACAUUUUAGUCUUCCUAGGGAAAUGUGUUUGGAACUCACUAUAUCUUAAUAUAGAAUAAUGGGAAAAUGUCAAAAAUUUCUUUAAAUGUGUGAAAUUCAUAAUAUCUAUCUUCUGUUUGUAGCUUGAUCUAAUCGGAAAUUCUACCGUUAGUACAUAAUUUAAAAAAUAGUUAGUUUUAGUUAACUUACUAUUAGUUUACUAGUUUUGCCAACUUAAUUUCGCGAAUAGUUACUUCACGAAAUGAAAUUGCUUGAAGGUUUUUCUUAUCAGUAAAAUCAAUUAUGUUCAUACAUAUAUUUUAGAAAGCAACAAUGGAUGGAAAGCCACUUUAAGGGUGCAAGUCAUUUAUAUAUAUUCGCCAAAUUCAUUAUUCUCCAUACCUUCAGGUUUAAUACAUGAUCGAAACUUAAAUUUAUCAAAAUAUUUUAUUUAAACAUGACUCGAAUAAUGUCAUAUUUUAAUUAAACAUUUAAUCCCUUAUAAAGUGUUUCAAUUAAAUACUUUCGAUUCAAAUUUCAGAAAUUUCUUUACGCGUGUUUUCAUUCAACUAUUUAGUAGCUAAGUUAACCACAUAAGAUGAGUUAUUUCUUUUAAUUAUACACAUCAACUUUAAGUAGAAAAUGUCUAUAGUUUUACGGCUUAUAUAGAAGCAAAUGUGUAUAUUUAAGGAGAUUAAUAUAUUUUAUAUGGUUAAUUUGAUUUAUCUAAUAGAUGAAUGAAAACACAAAAAUAAAAAAAAAUCAAAAUUUAAACCAAGGAUAUCUAAUUAAAUGAUUGUGUUGUUUCUGUUGAAGAUAUGCAUUAUUUUAGGUUUACGAUGGUGUUCGGAAUUCUCUCUUUUUCUUUGAAGGAUAAGGAUAACUUAGAGCCAAUAGAAGAACAAGUGAACAACCAUUUCAAACAUGAAAAGUGUAAAGUGGUGGAGUGUAAUUUAUUCGUCGUAUUAAAUAAGGACCAAGAAAUGGUCACUUGAAAUCAUGUCCACAUACAAUUUUGUUGCUUCUUUGAAGGCAUUUGGCCCUAUUUUAUUAUUAAAUUUGAAACAAAAAGAUUUUAUUUUUUUUUUAAGUGAAGAAUGGUAUUUGAAAAUUGAAUUAGUGUUUGGUCACGAAUACGAACUAAAAUUAUUUUUGGAAUUUUGUGAAUAACUUGAGAGAAAAAGGUUAAAAAAUAACUUGUUAUUUUUUAAUUUAGGGCCCGUUUGGCCAUGAAAAUUUUUCCAGAGUUGGAAAUUGUGGUGUUUGGCCAUGAAAAUUCGGAAAAUAAUUUCGGAAAAUUUUUCUAAAAAGGGAAAACAGGUUUUUGUUGUUUUCACAAUUUUUCAACUCCAAUUCCAACUUUUAUUAUUGUUAUAUAUAACUCCAAUCUUUUAAAUUUUUAUAUAAAACUCUCCUUAUAACAUUACUUUUUCAAUAUUACGUAUAUAGCAUUUUUAAAGAAUAAGAUAACUAUAAUUUUAAAUUUAAUGCUAUCCUAAUUGAUAUAUAUCUCUUUUUCUCUCUCAUCAUUAUUUUUAUUCUUUAUUUAAUUUUCUCCUUUAUUUAAGACAUUGUUUUACUGCUAAUUUAUAUUUAUAUCCAUAAAUAUAUAAAGUAUUAUAUUUAUAAUAGAAAUAUACAAAGUAUGNNNNNNNNNNNNNNNNNNNNNNNNNNNNNNNNNNNNNNNNNNNNNNNNNNNNNNNNNNNNNNNNNNNNNNNNNNNNNNNNCAUAUUUUACAUAGAAAUAAUUUAUUCACACAUAGUAAAAUCUUUCAUAUAUAAGAAAAUUAAAGAAAUAAAUUAGCGGCAUCUUAAAAUUUAAUAACAACUCAUCAUUUCAUAUUUUUUAGGAACAGAAAAUGAAGGAAAUAAAUUAAAUAAAUUCCUGAAAAAAUAAAUUUGUUUGAAAGAUAAUAUUUGUUACUAAAAAAUAGGAAGCAGUAAUCUAUUAAUAUAACAUCCAUAUUUAAAAAUUUCAAAUUUGAGAAAACGACUAUUAAUGUAAAUAUUAUAUAUAUCAUAAUUGAAAUUCAUUAAAUAUGACCAUGUAUAUGUAAUUAUUUUUAUAAUAGUGAUUAAUUGUGUUCUUUUUCCAUUUGUAGGUAAUUUUAGUUGGGUGAUUUUGAUAGUUUGUAAAAGUUUGAGCAUAAAAUCAUAUUUAAAUUUUUUUUUUCAAAAGUCAAAAAAAAAUUUUUAAAAAAGACAUUGCCCAACACAACUCCAACUUCAAUUUCAACUCCUAACUUCGAAAAAUUUUAAUUUUCAUGGUCAAACGAUUACUUAAUUUUUUGAAAAUUCCACAAUUCAACUUCAAGUUGAACUUUAGAAUUUUUUAAAAUUUUAUUGUCAAACAUGUUUUUUGAAGUUUAACUCGAAAAAUAAUCUGUCUACUUUCUUUCUUAGUUUUUAUUUCAUUUUUUUUCCAUAUCUAAAUUCAUAAAACGACUAGAUUUCAAAGUUUACCUGGUCACUAAGCUGAGCUAUUCGUUUGGGCCAAUACAAACUUUAGCCAACUAAUAGAUAUAAUUUCGAAUUAUGACCAAAAUUGCAACGUCAUAUUUUAAUUUCACAAGUUCUAUUAUUCCUAAAUUCAAUUUUAGUGUACGUUGUGACCUUUUUUUUUUUUGCUGAUGUAGCAAUUUUAUUACAUAAAAUAGGUCUCACAUAAAUGGACAAAAGAUAUCAUAUCAGCUAAAAAAAAAUGACAAAAUAUGCUAAAAUUUAAUUCAAUUAAUAAAAUUCCCAUAAAAUUAAAAUAUAUCGUAAUAAAUUUAAUCAUACUUGUGGUGUAUUGCUUUUCUCCAACUAGUAAAUGAUACUUCAAAAGUUUAAAGAAGUUUAAAGAUCAAAACUUAAAAUUUCUUGUCAGUUUUCAAGAGAUGAAAGAAUUUUUUGAAUCUGUACACUGUUGUAUAGUACAAAAUUUACAGCAACGUGUCAUUUUCUAUGAACAAGUAUUCAAGUAAUUAUUCACUACUACUUCUAACUGUGAUCCAUCUCUCAUCAUCAUUCCUUCUCCAAUUCAGUUCUGAAUCUGAACCUAAUUUUCUUACCCUUUGCAGAGGAGACUCCACUGAGCUUGCUGUUAGUAUUGAAUAAUGAUCCAUAGUUUCUGAAUUCCAUAUGUCUUGAUCAAGAAUGCUUGUCGGCGAACUUGUCACAAAAUCUUGAGUUGACAUAGAAUUCGAAUUGGAUUCUUCAAGAAACGGAUGUUUGAGGAGUUGUUUAGCUGUCCAUCUUUCUUUCGGAUCUCUUCUCAAGCAUUUGCUUAAGAAAUCCCUUGCUUCUAAAGACAAGAAUUUUGGAAUUUCUGGGGAUUCCCCAGAAAAUGCAAUUUGGUAGAGCAAUGAAGCUGCGUUUGUGGCAUUAGUCCAUGCCGAUCUACCAGUGGCCAUUUCAAUAAUCGUACAUCCCAAUGACCAAAUAUCACCCGGACGCCCCUGUUCUCCCCCACGCGCCACCUCUGGUGCCAUGAACAUCGGGGUCCCACCAAUUGGCUCCGUGGAACCAACGUCCCUGUCUGCUGGAUCAAUCCACCUGGCACAACCAAAAUCGGCAAUUUUGGCACCGGUUUUAGCUAACAAAAUGUUCUGCCCCUUAAUGUCACAGUGUGCUAUGCCCCUUGAAUGCAGGUACUCUAGUCCUUGUGCAAUUUGCUUGGCAUAAUACCCUAUCAAAGGCUCGUUGAUCCGACCACCAUGUUUCCGAUUUUCAUCGACGAGUGUACCUUCCGACAUGUAUUCCAUCAUAAGAUUAAACAUGAGUUUGUCCUUCU